UGCCUUCACCCUCUGAGCACACAGUGUUCUCUCUCCAUCUGGUAACUGCUUCUAACUUGCAGCCCACUCAGCUCUAGAGGAGAACCCUGAUUGCUUUAAGCCAAGCAGCACAUCCCAUUGGCCUUUUCACUGUAAUUAACUCAAGUCAGAAGAUGUGGUUCAGGUGAAUGAUAAAGGAGGAAAUGUCUGCUGGGGGCUUCUGGGGAGAAUGCUUUCUAGCUCAGCGAACUUUAAGGAAAGCGAUUCUCUCUCUCCUUGCUGGACAUUUACACAGAAUAAGAAAGAUCAAGGUGUGAGAAGUCAUUCUGGAACUCUGAAGAAACCCAACCUUAGGGUUAAACAAGAUACCAAGACGACCAAGGAGAAAAAGGAAGAUAAAAUGUUUUUGAUGAUACAACGGAGCCACUUAAGCCUUGUUUCAAAGCUUGGACUAUUUCUUUAUUUUUCAGCUACUCGAGGGUCUAAGUUCCCUUUUUGAAUUAAGCCAGUUUUGACCUAGAUUGUCUCUGACUUGAAACCAAAAGAUUCAUAAUAUUCAUGGGUGACAACUUGGUUCCAUGUUCAUCAUCACAUUCACUUAUUAGUAUUAUUUUUUCAGAACAGCAAGUAUGACAAGGGUCUGAAGGACCAAAGGGGACCAUUGCUUAUCAUAAAGUGUAAGCAGGCAAAAUUUACCUGUCAGAGCCUGAGUAGAGCUGGCUGGCCUGAUUUAGGGCCAUGAUCUCACAGAGUGCUCUCCGGUGUGUCCGACGUUAGUGAACUGCAUCCCAGUCAAUUAUGUGCGCGGUAGUCAUAAAGACUAAUUAUGAAGACACGAUGAGAUCAUUGCACAGCUGAACCACGAGGUAACGGCUACCCUAACAAGUCCAUCAGCUAGCGCCAGCAUGAUCCCACACAGACCCUUCAUGGCUUUCCUAUUUACUACACAUUGUCAGGCAGAUUUCCAAGCAUUCAGAUAGAAGCAAAAUGAAACACAUGUACUCUAUGAGCAUACGGCUUACUGCAAGAAACAGAACCUAUGAGAAACCAGAGGAGAUUUCUGUCAUGGAAAGCAGUGAAUUCCCCCAGAAUUAGGCCACAAUUCAUGGUCUGAAUUAUAAGAGCUGCUUGGGUCUGUCCAAGUCCAAUGUAUGGAUUACCUUGAUCCCCACUGCAACCCAGAAGCUUUCAGUUACCAGGAGCAGGACAACUGUGCUCGGAGAACAGCUUACCUGGUGCUGCUGUCAAAGACAGAACUCAGGGCCUGACAGUUGUUCCACUGAUUCUCAAGGCUCCACGUGGACGGGCAGUCGUCACAUUGAUUCAUUUCUUCGCUGGAAGAGCUAAUAUAAGCUCCAAGACAGCAGGAAAUUUCACCGAUUUUGUUUAUGGCUGUAUCUUUACUGCCUAGAGUGGUACAUGCCAUGUGG
Molecule: long non-coding RNA, 1409 nt
Organism: Acinonyx jubatus (cheetah)
Lineage: Eukaryota; Metazoa; Chordata; Mammalia; Carnivora; Felidae
Exons: 6
Source: RefSeq, a predicted model, not a curated record